AGUGAAUAGAUACCCUGGUAGUCCUGGCCCUAAACGAUGUCUACUAGGUCGGAGUCACUCUGACGUGUUUCUGGCCGAAAAACAAAAAAGCGUUAAGUAGACCGCCUGGGGAGUACGGUCGCAAGGCUAAAACUCAAAGGAAUUGACGGGGGCUCACACAAGCGGUGGAGCAUGUUGCUCAAUUCGAUGCAACGCGAAGAACCUUAUCCUAGGCUUGACAUGCUUGGAUGCCUGCCCGGAAACGGAGUAGGCUGCCCUUCGGGGUGAAACUUGCACAGGUGCUGCAUGGCUGUCGUCAGCUCGUGUCGUGAGAUGUCGGGUUAAGUCCCUUAACGAGCGAAACCCUUGUCGCUAAUUGCCAGCGGGUAAUGCCGGGAACUUUAGCGAGACUGCCGGUGUCAAACCGGAGGAAGGUGGGGAUGACGUCAAGUCCUCAUGGCCUUUAUGCCUAGGGCUGCAAACGUGCUACAAUGGCGCAUACAAACCGACGCAAAACCGCGAGGUCGAGCAAAUCGGAAAAAAAGACG
Molecule: ribosomal RNA, 527 nt
Filed under: uncultured bacterium
Lineage: Bacteria
Description: bacterial SSU rRNA
Rfam family: Bacterial small subunit ribosomal RNA
Source: RNAcentral